CGUCUAGGCGGCCCGCUAAGUCGGAUGUGAAAGCCCUGGGCUUAACCGAGGAAGUGCAUCCGAAACUGGCGAGCUUGAGUACCGGAGGGGGCAGCGGAAUUCCCGGUGUAGAGGUGAAAUUCGUAGAUAUCGGGAGGAACACCAGUGGCGAAGGCGGCUGUCUGGCCGGAUACUGACGCUAAAGCGCGAAAGCGUGGGGAGCAAACA
This 207-nucleotide ribosomal RNA is filed under the name uncultured bacterium. RNAcentral's name for it is "partial 16S ribosomal RNA". It matches the Rfam family "Bacterial small subunit ribosomal RNA", at positions 568 to 774 of the family's 1533-position model. The record is from RNAcentral.